CCUACGAGAGGCAGCAGUAGGGAAUAUUGCUCAAUGGGGGAAACCCUGAAGCAGCAACGCCGCGGGGAGGAUGAAGGUUUUCGGAUUGUAAACUCCUUUUGUUAGAGAAGAUAAUGACGGUAUCUAAAGAAUAAGCACCGGCUAACUCCGUGCCAGCAGCCGCGGUAAUACGGAGGGUGCAAGCGUUACUCGGAAUCACUGGGCGUAAAGAGCGCGUAGGCGGGAUAGCAAGUCAGAUGUGAAAUCCUAUGGCUUAACCAUAGAGCUGCAUUUGAAACUGUUAGUCUAGAGUAUGGGAGAGGUAGGUGGAAUUCUUGGUGUAGGGGUAAAAUCCGUAGAGAUCAAGAGGAAUACUCAUUGCGAAGGCGACCUGCUAGAACAUAACUGACGCUGAUGCGCGAAAGCGUAGGGAGCAAACAGGAUUAGAUACCCCAGUAGUC
Molecule: ribosomal RNA, 440 nt
Filed under: uncultured bacterium
Lineage: Bacteria
Description: partial 16S ribosomal RNA
Rfam family: Bacterial small subunit ribosomal RNA
Source: RNAcentral